AUCAAACUAACGAGUGCCAUAUAGGACGAAACGCGCGUCCUGGAU
Molecule: non-coding RNA, 45 nt
Organism: Schistosoma curassoni
Lineage: Eukaryota; Metazoa; Platyhelminthes; Trematoda; Strigeidida; Schistosomatidae
Source: Rfam